Molecule: ribosomal RNA, 373 nt
Filed under: uncultured Desulfobulbus sp.
Lineage: Bacteria; Pseudomonadati; Thermodesulfobacteriota; Desulfobulbia; Desulfobulbales; Desulfobulbaceae
Description: bacterial SSU rRNA
Rfam family: Bacterial small subunit ribosomal RNA
Source: RNAcentral
GGCGUUCCAUCUGGAAGGAAUCUGGAGACAGGUGCUGCAUGGCUGUCGUCAGCUCGUGUCGUGAGAUGUUGGGUUAAGUCCCGCAACGAGCGCAACCCUGCCUUUAGUUGCCAGCAGUUCGGCUGGGCACUCUAAAGGGACUGCCGGUGUUAAACCGGAGGAAGUGGGGAUGACGUCAAGUCCUCAUGGCCUUUAUGACCAGGGCUACACACGUACUACAAUGGCCGAUACAAAGGGCAGCGACACUGCGAGGUGAAGCCAAUCCCGUAAAAUCGGUCUCAGUCCGGAUUGGAGUCUGCAACUCGACUCCAUGAAGUUGGAAUCGCUAGUAAUCGUGGAUCAGCAUGCCACGGUGAAUACGUUCCCGGGCCUU